RNAcentral lists this ribosomal RNA (497 nucleotides) under uncultured bacterium. RNAcentral describes it as "partial 16S ribosomal RNA". It matches the Rfam family "Bacterial small subunit ribosomal RNA", at positions 28 to 507 of the family's 1533-position model. The record is from RNAcentral.
GAUGAACGCUGGCGGCGUGCCUAAUACAUGCAAGUCGAGCGAACAGACGAGGAGCUUGCUCCUCUGACGUUAGCGGCGGACGGGUGAGUAACACGUGGAUAACCUACCUAUAAGACUGGGAUAACUUCGGGAAACCGGAGCUAAUACCGGAUAAUAUAUUGAACCGCAUGGUUCAAUAGUGAAAGACGGUUUUGCUGUCACUUAUAGAUGGAUCCGCGCCGCAUUAGCUAGUUGGUAAGGUAACGGCUUACCAAGGCAACGAUGCGUAGCCGACCUGAGAGGGUGAUCGGCCACACUGGAACUGAGACACGGUCCAGACUCCUACGGGAGGCAGCAGUAGGGAAUCUUCCGCAAUGGGCGAAAGCCUGACGGAGCAACGCCGCGUGAGUGGUGAAGGUCUUCGGAUCGUAAAACUCUGUUAUUAGGGAAGAACAAAUGUGUAAGUAACUAUGCACGUCUUGACGGUAUCUAAUCAGAAAGCCACGGCUAACUACGUG